GUCUACAGCCAUACCACCCUAAACACGCCCAAUGUCGUCUGAUCUUGGAAGCUAAACAGGGUCAGGCCUGGUUAGUACUUGGAUGGAAGACAGAUCUUCAGAAGAGACUGCUCAGAGACUAACAAUUUGUAGACA
Molecule: ribosomal RNA, 135 nt
Filed under: Castor canadensis (American beaver)
Lineage: Eukaryota; Metazoa; Chordata; Mammalia; Rodentia; Castoridae
Source: RNAcentral